UUUAAUGAGAGUUUGAUCCUGGCUCAGGACGAACGCUGGCGGCGUGCCUAAUACAUGCAAGUAGAACGCUGAGGUUUGGUGUUUACACUAGACUGAUGAGUUGCGAACGGGUGAGUAACGCGUAGGUAACCUGCCUCAUAGCGGGGGAUAACUAUUGGAAACGAUAGCUAAUACCGCAUAAGAGUAAUUAACACAUGUUAGUUAUUUAAAAGGAGCAAUUGCUUCACUGUGAGAUGGACCUGCGUUGUAUUAGCUAGUUGGUGAGGUAAAGGCUCACCAAGGCGACGAUACAAAGCCGACCUGAGAGGGUGA
This 312-nucleotide ribosomal RNA is filed under the name Streptococcus agalactiae STIR-CD-09. RNAcentral describes it as "bacterial SSU rRNA". It matches the Rfam family "Bacterial small subunit ribosomal RNA", at positions 1 to 303 of the family's 1533-position model. Lineage: Bacteria; Bacillati; Bacillota; Bacilli; Lactobacillales; Streptococcaceae. The record is from RNAcentral.